CAUACCCCGUCUGGUAUGAGAGACCACGAUCCCGGUAGAGUUCCCUACGGACCCGGUCCGUCCACCAUCUCCCAGGAUAUCUAGUCAGGCUGACCACAUUAUACAAUUAUCAAUUUACAUAACCUUUCAUUCCCCUUUUCCUCAGUCAGCCUCAUCAAUUCACACAGAAACAAGCAAACCAGUAAUUUAUGCCAAACAAGACAACAUACAACAUCGGGUUCUCAGUCAUUCAACCUAUAAUCAAUAAAACAGUGAUAUAUACACACGAAAUAAUGAAAUGAAAACAUCAGACCUCAUACUGCAUUUAAAGCCGUAAAAUAGGCCAAACAACAGCUAACAGACAAACACACCAGACUCGGGCUCUAUUAGCGACCUUAAACAAUUUCACACAUCUAUUGAUUCAUAAAAUACCGUUUUAUUAUUUAUUGAACUUUAAUACCGUGAUAGAAAAUAGGGUGAGGGGUCCUUACUUGUUUCGGAGUCCGAAUACGGCUCUACAGUGCGCCUGCAGGCUGUCCCUAAUUUUCUCUGAAUUUUUUCCGGGGAACUGAAACGCACUACUGGUACCUGCACGUGUCCCAAAAAAUCCCAAAUUAGACCCAGGGCCCCUUUCGGCCAAUAUCGCAAUUCCGGCAUGGCGGCUCCGCCGUGCUCCGGCGACGGCGUCGCCGCAAGCGGCGGCAAUUCGCCUUGGGUUGGCUGUUUUCGGCCGUUUCCGGCCUAAUUCGGCCACACUUGCAUCGGUCCCUGUGAU
Molecule: long non-coding RNA, 754 nt
Filed under: Carica papaya (papaya)
Lineage: Eukaryota; Viridiplantae; Streptophyta; Magnoliopsida; Brassicales; Caricaceae
Description: long non-coding RNA (CPAP_LNC010502)
Source: RNAcentral